This 205-nucleotide long non-coding RNA is filed under the name Prunus persica (peach). RNAcentral describes it as "long non-coding RNA (PPER_LNC002252)". The record is from RNAcentral. Lineage: Eukaryota; Viridiplantae; Streptophyta; Magnoliopsida; Rosales; Rosaceae.
UGGUUGGUGUUUUGCACAAUUUUAGAGAUUCGAUUUCACCAAAAAAGCACCAAAUGACUCCUCCCACCAUAUUAUGAUGUUCCCCAAGUUUUGGACACAAUCCGAUAUCGAUUGGUCCAUGAAAUUUGGCAAUUCAGGUUCGUACGAAGUUCAUUCUGAAAUGGUGUGGUUGGUAUAUUUCAUAGUUCUUGAGAUUGGAUUUCAC